UGCAAGUCGAGGGUAACGGAAGCUUGCUUUUGCUGACGACCGGCGCACGGGUGCGUAACGCGUAUGCAACCUACCUCAUACUGGAGGAUACCCCCUGGAAACGGGGAUUAAUACUCCAUAGUAUCACGAAUUCGCAUGUUUUUGUGAUUAAAGUUUUCGGUAUGAGAUGGGCAUGCGUCCCAUUAGCUUGUUGGUGAGGUAACGGCUCACCAAGGCAACGAUGGGUAGGGGGCCUGAGAGGGUGGUCCCCCACACUGGUACUGAGACACGGACCAGACUCC
RNAcentral lists this ribosomal RNA (281 nucleotides) under unidentified marine bacterioplankton. RNAcentral describes it as "partial 16S ribosomal RNA". It matches the Rfam family "Bacterial small subunit ribosomal RNA", at positions 56 to 339 of the family's 1533-position model. RNAcentral also lists the same sequence under 1 other name. The record is from RNAcentral.